CUACGGGAGGCUGCAGUAAGGAAUAUUGCGCAAUGGAGGCAACUCUGACGCAGCCAUGCCGCGUGCAGGAAGAAGGCCUUAUGGGUCGUAAACUGCUUUUAUUUAGGAAUAAACCCCCGAACGUGUUCGGGGCUGAAGGUACUAAACGAAUAAGCACCGGCUAACUCCGUGCCAGCAGCCGCGGUAAUACGGAGGGUGCAAGCGUUAUCCGGAUUUAUUGGGUUUAAAGGGUGCGCAGGCGGGCUAUUAAGUCAGUGGUGAAAUCCCGGGGCUCAACUCCGGAACUGCCAUUGAUACUGUAGUCUUGAGUUUGGUUGAAGUGGGCGGAAUGUAGCAUGUAGCGGUGAAAUGCAUAGAUAUGCUACAGAACACCAAUCGCGAAGGCAGCUCACUAAGCCAAAACUGACGCUCAUGCACGAAAGCGUGGGGAUCAAACAGGAUUAGAUACCCCUGUAGUC
This 458-nucleotide ribosomal RNA is filed under the name uncultured bacterium. Its description in RNAcentral is "partial 16S ribosomal RNA". It matches the Rfam family "Bacterial small subunit ribosomal RNA", at positions 339 to 795 of the family's 1533-position model. The record is from RNAcentral.